UUACUAUGCACUUAGGGAGCGUUCGGUAUUUAUGGAAAGGACCACCAGAGGAAAAUAGGGGAGGGUAAUAUCUUUUUAUUCUUUGUU
Molecule: long non-coding RNA, 87 nt
Organism: Etheostoma spectabile (orangethroat darter)
Lineage: Eukaryota; Metazoa; Chordata; Actinopteri; Perciformes; Percidae
Exons: 3
Source: RefSeq, a predicted model, not a curated record